RNAcentral lists this long non-coding RNA (2259 nucleotides) under Marmota monax (woodchuck). The record is from RNAcentral. Lineage: Eukaryota; Metazoa; Chordata; Mammalia; Rodentia; Sciuridae.
UUUAAAUGAAAGCAAACUUGCUUGAGAGAGAGUCAAAGCAGAUGUCCUAAAGUUUGUAGCCUUUUCAUCCAGCAAGCUGAUGGCUCUUGCAUUAAGGAGAUGUGACAUGCAGAAAUUUUGAUCUAAAAGUCUUGGAGGACACUGAGUUUAUAACUAAUGAAUUCUAAUUGGGUAGAUGAAGUGGGUUAUUCUGCCAUGUGUUUUUAUAGUUCAGAGGCAUUAUUCUUACCUUUCUUGACAUUGCCACUUAUUUUAUAAGUAGAAAUAAAAUCUUACCCCAAGGAAGCCCUAAAAAUAAGAUAAAAAAAUUAAGCUAUUAUCUUUAGUCCAUUCAUUAAAUUUGUAGUUUAUAGUAGCCUAAAAAUACUUACCCCCAGUUGGUUCAAAAUGGAGGUGAUCAACUGAGAAAGAAGAAAAAUCAAUGUCAGGACUAUCAGUAGGUUUAUUUUUAAUUUUAAUGUAGUACAUGUAUAAAUUAGACUAUUUUGUAUAUGAAAAUGGUUUUAUUGAAAAUUCCACUUUGUUACUUAUGAUUUUAUUUACAUAAUGUAAGAUUUUAAAAUGAAGAAUCAAUACCAAGAUUUACAUUUCUUUAAUUUACAGAAAUAUUUUCUUCUGUCUUGUAACUCUAUUCAUUAUGUUUGACUCUCACUCUUGGCAAUCACAGAAGAAAUUAUUUCAUUGAUGUAUAGUUGGGUUGAAUUGAAUAAGUGAAUAUAUAAUUGUUCUCAGGCAUUAAGAUUGUUUUUUGGGUUUGAAUUUAACAGCUGUGCUUUAUUUUGUAUCUACAUGAAUUGGACUAAUAAGAGUAAUUUUCAGGAUGAAUUGGCUCAUUUUAUGCAGUAUUUUGAAUAUAAUAUAUUUAUAGACUUAUAGGUUAACAAGGCAAAAUGUAUUUACCAUUAUGAAUUCAUUAGGUGUCAGGACCUAGAAUAAAGGAAAUACGAAAUAAUCUAGGAGUUGAUAAUUCAGCAUUUUAACUUUUUUCUGUUAUAAUUUUAUAUUAGCUUGGUAAAUGAAAACAUGCUUUUUAGAAUGCAUUUAAGAAUUAUAUCAUUAAGAUUCAUAUUUACUAAUAUUUUUAAAGUAUCUCCCCCUUGGUACCUCUUUCUCAAACCUAUUUCUGGAUAUAUGUAGUCCAUAUUUUCUUUUGUGGAUUCCAAACAUAUAAUAUUUAUUUUUUAGUUAUAGGUAUACACAAUAUUUUUAUUUUUAUGUGGUGCUGAGGAUCGAAUCCAGUGCCCCACGCAUGCUAAGCAAGCACUCUUCCUCUGAGCCACAGUUUCCCAGUUUCCUUUUUUAUAAGUUUUUUUAAAAAUGUUUUUUAGUUGUCAAUGAAUCUUUUUAAAAUUUUUUUUUUUUUUUUUGUAGUUGUAGAUGGACAGAAUGCCUUUAUUUUAUUUAUUUUUAUGUGGUGCUGAGGAUCCAACCCAGUGCUUCACGCAUGCUAGGCAAGCACUCUGCCACUAAGCUACAGCUCUAGUCCAGUGGGUCUUUUAUUUAUUUAUAUGCCAUGCUGAGGAUGGAUCUCAGGGCCUCACAUAUGCUGGGCAAGCAUUCUACCAUGGAGCCAUGACUCCAGCCUGGAAUUUCUUUUUUGAAGAUCAUUAAACCUAUGCUUACUAGGUUGAGAAAAAAUACUACACUUUUGCAUUAACAUUAUGAAAGAAACUAUAAUAAUGUUAUUUUCUGUAAUUUUAAGAAGAGUAUAAUUUUAAAAAUUGGAAUUAAUAUACUAUAAAAUAUAUAACUUUUUUUUUCUAAAUCAGUCAUAUAAUUAUCAGUACUUCAGUGAAGUCCCAUUAAAGUAAAAUUUAAAUAAACCUUAUAUACCAUGAACAUAACCCUAAAUAUAGUUCAAAGGCUUCAAGGACAGAUACAUUUCAAUAAGUAUCCCCUCUCCCCAUGAAUGUCAAAUGUAAGCAUAACUUCAGAGGCACAAUGUAUUUCAUAAAAGAUCUAUUUUUACUCUCUUGUCUUUGAGAAUAAGGUAAGGCUGAGAGGAGCCUGAUUAUUCCAAAGUGUUAAAGAGCAGACCUAGAGCUGGCAUCUCUAGAACAAUUUGCCUUCAAAUUUUUCUACUGGUCCCCAGGUUUAUUCCAUACAAUCACUGAAUGUAUCAGGUUUUAGGUUUGAGAUUUAUAUAUUAAGUUGUUCAAAAUUUAACAAUUGGUAUUUUGUUAAGACAAAGUAUCAAUAACUAGUAGUCCCCAAAGAGAAUGCUAAUCAUUAAUUCUUGGUAUAAAAUUCCUCUCUAAU